UUUGCUGAAGGAGACACCCCCAACCCCCUUUCGGUUUCUCCGCCGCUGAGAUUGUACUGGCAGCGCAUAUAACCAGCAGUAGCCUAAUUGUGAUCUGACGUGUAACAAUAGGUCUGAAUAAGUGACCUGAGAAAAACAAGGCAAGUGUCUAAACACCCAGCCCACUCCGCGGGACUCCUGGGGACAACUGGCCGACUGGGAUCCGGCAAAUCGCAGACUUUCAGCAGGGGUCAUGGCAUCAACAUAAAAGGUGAUAGUGAAGUCAAUUGAAAAGAUCAUUGGUGCUCCUUCGCCCUCUCACCAACUCUGCACUGGCAGGUCCCCCAGCGUUACCAUCCUCUCUCCUGCAAUCCGAAAAAAGCCAAGAACUGUCAACCCAAGGAGUCCGAGAAACUAAUCGAGAAAUAAAAUCAGACGGGGCUGAUGUGGCUCCCAUCCUAUUUAAAUUCCCAAGCGUCCUAUAAGAAUUAAAAAAGGAUCGAACGUACUUUGGAUAUGGGAAGGCAUCUUUCCAGUGGUGCUGUUAUGGGGAGAUCCAGACAAGGGCCAAUUUCCCAGGGUGGCAUCAUUGAUGGGACACCACAGGGAACCUGCACAUCUGAGUAGAUGGCUCAAGUACACCAGAACUGCCACUGGGUGUCACAGCUGCUGCUACUAACAGAGAGCCAUCAGAAUGUAACCCUGACUAACGAGGGUACUACAUAUCCUGGACAAUUAGCCUAUUAAAAUGGCCAACCAUGCUUUUCACCAUAUUAGUGCUGCAUAACAACAAGCAAGGGUCCAUCUGGCAAGGCAACACUGCGUGCUUCGACAUUCAUAGCACCGAAACGAACCACUUUUUAAAGCAGCAAAACUAAAGAUGAAUAAAAAAUAAAGUAAAAAAAUAAAAGGAAA
Long non-coding RNA from Brienomyrus brachyistius, 894 nucleotides. RefSeq lists it as uncharacterized. The transcript has 4 exons. The record is from RefSeq and is a predicted model, not a curated record. Lineage: Eukaryota; Metazoa; Chordata; Actinopteri; Osteoglossiformes; Mormyridae.